RNAcentral lists this ribosomal RNA (496 nucleotides) under uncultured bacterium. RNAcentral's name for it is "partial 16S ribosomal RNA". It matches the Rfam family "Bacterial small subunit ribosomal RNA", at positions 28 to 506 of the family's 1533-position model. The record is from RNAcentral.
GAUGAACGCUGGCGGCGUGCCUAAUACAUGCAAGUCGAGCGAACGGGCGAGAAGCUUGCUUCUCUGAUGUUAGCGGCGGACGGGUGAGUAACACGUGGAUAACCUACCUAUAAGACUGGGAUAACUUCGGGAAACCGUAGCUAAUACCGGAUAAUAUUUUGAACCGCAUGGUUCAAAAGUGAAAGACGGUCUUGCUGUCACUUAUAGAUGGAUCCGCGCUGCAUUAGCUAGUUGGUAAGGUAACGGCUUACCAAGGCAACGAUGCAUAGCCGACCUGAGAGGGUGAUCGGCCACACUGGAACUGAGACACGGUCCAGACUCCUACGGGAGGCAGCAGUAGGGAAUCUUCCGCAAUGGGCGAAAGCCUGACGGAGCAACGCCGCGUGAGUGAUGAAGGUCUUCGGAUCGUAAAACUCUGUUAUUAGGGAAGAACAUAUGUGUAAGUAACUGUGCACAUCUUGACGGUACCUAAUCAGAAAGCCACGGCUAACUACGU